Molecule: ribosomal RNA, 264 nt
Filed under: uncultured bacterium
Lineage: Bacteria
Description: partial 16S ribosomal RNA
Rfam family: Bacterial small subunit ribosomal RNA
Source: RNAcentral
GUCCACGCCCUAAACGAUGUCAACUAGUUGUCGGGGAUUCGUUUCCUUGGUAACGCAGCUAACGCGUGAAGUUGACCGCCUGGGGAGUACGGCCGCAAGGUUAAAACUCAAAGGAAUUGACGGGGACCCGCACAAGCGGUGGAUGAUGUGGAUUAAUUCGAUGCAACGCGAAAACCUUACCUACGCUUGACAUGCCAGGAAUCCUGAAGAGAUUUUGGGAGUGCCCGAAAGGGAACCUGGACACAGGUGCUGCAUGGCUGUCGU